AGAGUUUGAUCCUGGCUCAGAGCGAACGCUGGCGGCAGGCCUAACACAUGCAAGUCGAACGGAUCCUUCGGGAUUAGUGGCGGACGGGUGAGUAACACGUGGGAACGUGCCCUUUGGUUCGGAACAACUCAGGGAAACUUGAGCUAAUACCGGAUGUGCCCUUCGGGGGAAAGAUUUAUCGCCAUUGGAGCGGCCCGCGUCUGAUUAGCUAGUUGGUGGGGUAAAGGCCCACCAAGGCGACGAUCAGUAGCUGGUCUGAGAGGAUGAUCAGCCACAUUGGGACUGAGACACGGCCCAAACUCCUACGGGAGGCAGCAGUGGGGAAUCUUGCGCAAUGGGCGAAAGCCUGACGCAGCCAUGCCGCGUGAAUGAUGAAGGUCUUAGGAUUGUAAAAUUCUUUCACCGGGGACGAUAAUGACGGUACCCGGAGAAGAAGCCCCGGCUAACUUCGUGCCAGCAGCCGCGGUAAUACGAAGGGGGCUAGCGUUGCUCGGAAUUACUGGGCGUAAAGGGAGCGUAGGCGGACUGUUAAGUUAGAGGUGAAAGCCCAGGGCUCAACCUUGGAAUUGCCUUUGAUACUGGCAGUCUUGAGUACGGAAGAGGUAUGUGGAACUCCGAGUGUAGAGGUGAAAUUCGUAGAUAUUCGGAAGAACACCAGUGGCGAAGGCGACAUACUGGUCCGUUACUGACGCUGAGACUCGAAAGCGUGGGGAGCAAACAGGAUUAGAUACCCUGGUAGUCCACGCCGUAAACGAUGAGUGCUAGUUGUCGGCAUGCAUGCAUGUCGGUGACGCAGCUAACGCAUUAAGCACUCCGCCUGGGGAGUACGGUCGCAAGAUUAAAACUCAAAGGAAUUGACGGGGGCCCGCACAAGCGGUGGAGCAUGU
RNAcentral lists this ribosomal RNA (887 nucleotides) under uncultured bacterium. Its description in RNAcentral is "bacterial SSU rRNA". It matches the Rfam family "Bacterial small subunit ribosomal RNA", at positions 8 to 942 of the family's 1533-position model. The record is from RNAcentral.